AUUGAACGCUAGCGGGAUGCUUUACACAUGCAAGUCGAACGGCAGCGCGGACUUCGGUCUGGCGGCGAGUGGCGAACGGGUGAGUAAUGUAUCGGAACGUGCCCAGUAGCGGGGGAUAACUACGCGAAAGCGUAGCUAAUACCGCAUACGCCCUACGGGGGAAAGCAGGGGAUCGUAAGACCUUGCACUAUUGGAGCGGCCGAUAUCGGAUUAGCUAGUUGGUGAGGUAACGGCUCACCAAGGCGACGAUCCGUAGCUGGUUUGAGAGGACGACCAGCCACACUGGGACUGAGACACGGCCCAGACUCCUACGGGAGGCAGCAGUGGGGAAUUUUGGACAAUGGGGGCAAACCUGAUCCAGCCAUCCCGCGUGUGCGAUGAAGGCCUUCGGGUUGUAAAGCACGUUUGGCAGGAAAGAAACGUCGCGGGCUAAUACCCCGUGGAACUGACGGUACCUGCAGAAUAAGCACCGGCUAACUACGUG
RNAcentral lists this ribosomal RNA (484 nucleotides) under uncultured bacterium. RNAcentral describes it as "partial 16S ribosomal RNA". It matches the Rfam family "Bacterial small subunit ribosomal RNA", at positions 30 to 507 of the family's 1533-position model. The record is from RNAcentral.